GGCAGGGUCUGUCAGAGCCUCCCUGGAAAAGGAAUUCAAGGGGUUGAGCGAAGUUCAGAGUAACAGCGUGGUGCCUAAAGCUCACAACCUGUCCCCAGCCUCGUGCCGAGAACCUGAGAUCCAAACAUUCAGCUGAGAAAAUUCUUGAGACCAGGUCCUGUAUGUGUCAACAAAACAGCCCCUGCUGCCACUAUCCAGACUGAGAGACGGGAGCAAAGAGGAGCAAACGACAGCAGAUCCAACAGCCUGAGCAGUUAUUCUGAGCCUUGGAGGUCAGCACUGAAUUCUGGCCUGCUGUAAGACCAGACCAAGAUGAAGUGAGAAGGCCCCUCUCUUCAACAGGGAGUGGCAGCGCAACGUGGAAAGGCUUAACACAGACACACACUAACACACACACACCUCAUGUCUGUUUAUUCACAUCGGCAAAGCACGUGCAGACACAUGUGCGUGUGCGCACACACACACACACGCACACAAUCUGCCUCACCCUCACAUAGACAUACGCAUACAAAAGCACACCUGUCAGGGCCUUUCCACUGUGUGAGCAAAAGCAAAGAAGUCCGGCCCCCCCUCCGUCUCUCUGUAUGUGGUAUCCCAUGUCUGUUAUAUUAAAGCAAAUCUAUUCAGUUCCCACUUUCUUAUCUGAAAUAAUGGCAUGAGCAAUUUUCACAUUUAAGUAAGCAAGGACACAUGCAGUCUCUCUCUCUUCCACUCUCUCACUUAAUGAAUGGAAUCAGAUCUGGGCCCCUGUGGCUGCGGUCUAAUCUGCCUUUGAAGAUUUCUACAAUUUACAGAAAUAAAUAA
Long non-coding RNA from Oreochromis aureus, 804 nucleotides. Lineage: Eukaryota; Metazoa; Chordata; Actinopteri; Cichliformes; Cichlidae. The record is from Ensembl.